GGUCAUGAGUGCCAGCAUCAAGCCCCGGCUCGCUGGCCGGCAACCCUCCAACCGCGGUGGGGUGCCCCGGGUGAGGACCUGGCUGUCCGGCAAAAGGCCGGAUGGCAAGCGCGGCCC
This 117-nucleotide non-coding RNA is filed under the name Pseudarthrobacter siccitolerans. RNAcentral describes it as "Arthrobacter siccitolerans SAM-IV sequence". It matches the Rfam family "SAM (S-adenosyl methionine) riboswitch aptamer". From Rfam's summary of the family: SAM-IV is a mRNA element that regulates gene expression via direct sensing of S-adenosylmethionine (SAM or AdoMet). SAM-IV riboswitches share conserved nucleotide positions with the previously described SAM-I riboswitches sequence analysis and molecular recognition experiments suggest that SAM-I and SAM-IV riboswitches share similar ligand binding sites, but have different scaffolds. Lineage: Bacteria; Bacillati; Actinomycetota; Actinomycetes; Micrococcales; Micrococcaceae. The record is from RNAcentral.